GACGAACGCUGGCGGCGUGCUUAACACAUGCAAGUCGAACGGAAAGGCCCUGCUUUUGUGGGGUGCUCGAGUGGCGAAAGGGUGAGUAACACGUGAGUAACCUGCCCUUGACUUUGGGAUAACUUCAGGAAACUGGGGCUAAUACCGGAUAGGAGCUCCUGCUGCAUGGUGGGGGUUGGAAAGUUUCGGCGGUUGGGGAUGGACUCGCGGCUUAUCAGCUUGUUGGUGGGGUAGUGGCUUACCAAGGCUUUGACGGGUAGCCGGCCUGAGAGGGUGACCGGCCACACUGGGACUGAGAUACGGCCCAGACUCCUACGGGAGGCAGCAGUGGGGAAUAUUGCACAAUGGGCGGCAGCCUUAUGCAGCAACGCCGCGUGCUGGAUGACGGCCUUCGGGUUGUAACCCGCUUUCGCCUGUGACGAAGCGUGAGUGACGGUAAUGGGUAAAGAAGCACCGGCUAACUACGUG
Molecule: ribosomal RNA, 468 nt
Filed under: uncultured bacterium
Lineage: Bacteria
Description: partial 16S ribosomal RNA
Rfam family: Bacterial small subunit ribosomal RNA
Source: RNAcentral